Molecule: ribosomal RNA, 460 nt
Filed under: uncultured bacterium
Lineage: Bacteria
Description: partial 16S ribosomal RNA
Rfam family: Bacterial small subunit ribosomal RNA
Source: RNAcentral
GACGAACGCUGGCGGCGUGCUUAACACAUGCAAGUCGAGCGGUAAGGCCUCUUCUGGGGUCCACGAGCGGCGAACGGGUGGGUAACACGUGGGUGACCUGCCCUCAGCUCUGGGAUAAGCCUGCGAAACUAGGUCUAAUACCGGAUAUGACCUUUCCUCGCAUGGGGUUUGGUGGAAAGUUUUUUCGGCCGGGGAUGGGCCCGCGGCCUAUCAGCUUGUUGGUGGGGUGAUGGCCUACCAAGGCGACGACGGGUAGCCGGCCUGAGAGGGCGACCGGCCAAACUGGGACUGAGACACGGCCCAGACUCCUACGGGAGGCAGCAGUGGGGAAUAUUGCGCAAUGGGCGGAAGACUGACGCAGCGACGCCGCGUGGGGGAUGACGGCCUUCGGGUUGUAACCUUCUUUCGACCCCGACGAAUUUGGACGGUAGGGGUAGAAGAAGCACCGGCCAACUACGUG